RNAcentral lists this transfer RNA (79 nucleotides) under Caldicellulosiruptor saccharolyticus DSM 8903. RNAcentral describes it as "tRNA-Arg (CCT) (tRNA-Arg-CCT-2-1)". Lineage: Bacteria; Bacillati; Bacillota; Caldicellulosiruptorales; Caldicellulosiruptoraceae. The record is from RNAcentral.
AGGUUUGAGGUGUAACUUCCGACCUGAUUGUGGUUUCCUAAACCAUGUGCCGGAGGUUCGAGUCCUCUCGGGCGCACCA